GAUGAACGCUGGCGGCGUGCCUAAUACAUGCAAGUCGAGCGAACAGACGAGGAGCUUGCUCCUCUGACGUUAGCGGCGGACGGGUGAGUAACACGUGGAUAACCUACCUAUAAGACUGGGAUAACUUCGGGAAACCGGAGCUAAUACCGGAUAAUAUAUUGAACCGCAUGGUUCAAUAGUGAAAGACGGUUUUGCUGUCACUUAUAGAUGGAUCCGCGCCGCAUUAGCUAGUUGGUAAGGUAACGGCUUACCAAGGCAACGAUGCGUAGCCGACCUGAGAGGGUGGUAGGCCACCUUGGAAGGUGAGCAGCGGCCAGACUCCUACGGGAGGCAGCAGUAGGGAAUCUUCCGCAAAGGGCGAAAGCCUGACGGAGCAACGCCGCGUGAGUGAUGAAGGUCUUCGGAUCGUAAAACUCUGUUAUUAGGGAAGAACAAAUGUGUAAGUAACUAUGCACGUCUUGACGGUACCUAAUCAGAAAGCCACGGCUAACUACGUG
This 497-nucleotide ribosomal RNA is filed under the name uncultured bacterium. Its description in RNAcentral is "partial 16S ribosomal RNA". It matches the Rfam family "Bacterial small subunit ribosomal RNA", at positions 28 to 507 of the family's 1533-position model. The record is from RNAcentral.